Salvelinus sp. IW2-2015 is the source of this 233-nucleotide non-coding RNA. The record is from RefSeq and is a predicted model, not a curated record. Lineage: Eukaryota; Metazoa; Chordata; Actinopteri; Salmoniformes; Salmonidae.
CUCUUUAUUUCUAUCCAUCCUCUUGAUACAGAUCUCUUGAUCUAUCCUUUGGCUGCAUUUUAAUGGUAUGAUGAAUCAGACCUCAAUGGCAGCAAUCCAAAGGUUGUAUGAGGCAAUUGUGAAAGUGGCAAUCAACACCCAUGCCCCCACACUACAACCCUCCAACCCUCCUCCUGUUGCUGCCCAAGAACUGUCUGAUACAGUUGCCCCCCAGGAGACCAGCUACACCCUCA